This is a long non-coding RNA of Anopheles merus, 618 nucleotides long. RefSeq lists it as uncharacterized. The record is from RefSeq and is a predicted model, not a curated record. The transcript has 3 exons. Lineage: Eukaryota; Metazoa; Arthropoda; Insecta; Diptera; Culicidae.
UCCGGCGGCGUAAAAUCAACAAGCCUCCGCUUAGGUGGAUUUCGGGAUGGUGCGUUUUGUGAGUUACGAUCGAGCUCACCGGGGCGAGAGCUUAUAGGAGUGGCCACAGAAUUAUUCGUUAGAAGCGGUAAGCCAGGAGGGGCAGUAAGUAACGUAGUGUGCGUGUUAGCAUUAGUUGCGUGGAACGCGGCUAGAACAUCUUUCUUGACUGCGUCCAAGGCAUCCGUGAGACGACAAUCAAAUUCUCCAAGAAGCUCCAGCUUCAGCUAGUGCAGAUCCAAAGAGUUUGUGAGUCAGGACGUUUCAGCUCGGACAUGACCACCUCACACACACUCAAGCAGCCAAAGUGGAGCAGCACAGGAGGGGCAGGAUUCGGCCAUGAUGAAGAAAGAAACGAACGACAACACACUAACACACGCGAGGUUGAGUGUAUAUGAUCCCGGCACGAUGCGGUUUUGAUUCAAUCUUCGAACGGAAAUUAAGCUGCGGGGCUUGUACACUUGAUGAAAACCUUAUCACUGGAUGAUAAAUCGACCAGAGAUGGACUAGUUGAGCGCGUGCAGAAGCGAUAUGAGAUUGAAAAACACGUGCAAAAACGGUCGAAAUGUUGGAGUGCGA